This 999-nucleotide long non-coding RNA is filed under the name Brachypodium distachyon (stiff brome). RNAcentral's name for it is "long non-coding RNA (BDIS_LNC001272)". Lineage: Eukaryota; Viridiplantae; Streptophyta; Magnoliopsida; Poales; Poaceae. The record is from RNAcentral.
ACUGGACGCCCAUCGUUGUGCGAUAAAUGUUGGAUCUGGAUGCCCGUGUUUUUGGUGGUGGGGAGGGUGUUAUCGGCGCGGGAGCGACGAAGGUUGGAUCCGGUAGGAUUUGGAGCCUGGAUGCCCAUGGGUUUGGUGAUGGCCAUGGUGUUCAUGGCAUGGGAGUGGUUGCCUUCCAAGGAGGGAGCGACAUUGCCCUUUUGGCAUUUUGUUCGUGGCUGUGGUGGUGGUCAUGGUUGGGGCUGGAUCGGCGGCCUCACCAGAAGAGGUGCAUGAGGCUAUGGCGGUGGAGCUAGUGGUAGUGGAGCCACCUAGGCCAAUGUCCAGUAGCAAGUUGAAGGCUGUGCAGAGGUACUAAAAACUGGUGGAGCCACUGUUGGCAAUGCGCGGCAACCGGUGUCAUGACAGUUGUUGGUUGUUGCUACCAAUGCUACUCCUGUGAAGGAUGACGAUGAAGAUAAGACAGAUGAUUGAAGGUCCGUCGAAGCUUCUCCAAGGUAUCUUUUAGUGUUCUGAGGUGACACCGGAGAGAUUUUACUAGGAGGAACGUGUUUUCCCUAGUUUUUUGUCUUUUUGAGUUGUAUUAACCGAGCUCUGAAGGGUAUUGUUUCUUCAAUAAUAUAAAAGUUGUGUGCAUCGAGUCCCUUUUCAAAAAAAAAGAAAAAGAAUCUCAUAAAUAGCUUGAGAAACCGUACCCCUCGCAGCAAGGUAGGUAUAGCAAGGGGAAUCCAGCGUCCCGAAUGGAGGUGGUGGUAAGGUUAAGCUCAGGUCUGCCUAAGAAUAGAAAUGUGUUGGAUGAUGAAACGUGUAAAUAUGGCUCAGUGCCUGAAUCCUCCCAGUGUUCAUAAGUAAUUCAGAGUUUUAGACACUGUAUCUUGCUCUUGACACAGCAAUUCAUAUGGACCAAUAUUUGCAUCAUUAUGCAGUUUUCGAUGUAUAUAAUAUCUCCCUCUUGAUGUCAGAAUUCAGAUGCAAAGAGAACACCCCCAAGAACCCAUA